GAUUGGCUCGUGUUUCAGAGAAGGCAUCUCAGGGUUUCAAAUCUUGAGCAUGAUUAGGUUGGAGUUGCUUGUUUACAACUCUGCUGUUUGUUAGCACUUGGGAAUUUUUGCGCUUGCUGGAAAUCUCCGACUCUAAACUGAAAAGGGUUUGUGAGAUGGAAUGGAAAGAAACAGUGAUCGAAAAUGGGUGGAAAAGUUAUGGCUGUGAAUUUGUCUGAUAGAUGAAUAGCCCGUUGUUCGUUCAGCUAUUUGGACAUGAUGAUCCCCUUAUUAGGAGACUUGGAUCUAGGAUUAUUAUUUUUCUUUAUUUGAUUAGGUCUUUUUAGUUGUAGCAAUCGCAAUAUAGUUGAUAAUUGGAAAAUUAUUUGUAAAAUUGAAAAUAGAAUAUGUAAAUAACAGCUCAAAAAGGUUGAAGAAAUCGAAAAUAAUUGUUUA
Long non-coding RNA from Macadamia integrifolia, 435 nucleotides. RefSeq lists it as uncharacterized. NCBI's taxonomy places the organism in Eukaryota, Viridiplantae, Streptophyta, Magnoliopsida, Proteales, Proteaceae. The transcript is spliced from 2 exons. The record is from RefSeq and is a predicted model, not a curated record.